GUGCGCUGAAUCGAGCGAUUCUCUCGUCAUUCAGAUUCUCUCAACCGCCGGCGAGUCCUCUGCGAACUCCAACACUUCGAUCAGAUUUCUCACUCAAACUCAGAUGGGACGGAAUGGCAUAUUACCGAUGAUGACGUUGCUCGAGUAUAUGGACUUCCGCAUGGAUUUGGGAAAAGUAUCAUAUCUUUAGUAAAGCCUUCAAACUAUUAUAGCGAAAUUCAUGAAAUUAGCCAACGCUUUGAGCUUGAUACAAGAAAUUCGACAGUAGUCCAAAAUUGUUGGUUAUCAGAGAUAUUACAAUCUUCUAGAUUGCACCGUCCUGUUGACUUUUGGAGAUUUUAUAUCCUAUAUUCUUUGUCGACGUUAUUAAUUCCAUCAAC
Molecule: long non-coding RNA, 380 nt
Organism: Andrographis paniculata
Lineage: Eukaryota; Viridiplantae; Streptophyta; Magnoliopsida; Lamiales; Acanthaceae
Exons: 3
Source: RefSeq, a predicted model, not a curated record